UACGGAGGGUCCGAGCGUUAUCCGGAAUCAUUGGGUUUAAAGGGUCCGUAGGCGGACAAUUAAGUCAGUGGUGAAAGUCUGCAGCUCAACUGUAGAAUUGCCAUUGAUACUGGUUGUCUUGAAUCGUUGUGAAGUGGCUAGAAUAUGUGGUGUAGCGGUGAAAUGCUUAGAUAUCACAUAGAAUACCGAUUGCGAAGGCAGGUCACUAACAACGUAUUGACGCUGAUGGACGAAAGCGUGGGGGGCGAACAGGAUUAGAUACCCUGGUAGUCCACGCCGUAAACGAUGGAUACUAGCUGUCCGGCACACAUUGGUGUGCUGGGUGGCCCAGCGAAAGUGAUAAGUAUCCCACCUGGGGAGUACGUUCGCAAGAAUGAA
Molecule: ribosomal RNA, 378 nt
Filed under: uncultured bacterium
Lineage: Bacteria
Description: bacterial SSU rRNA
Rfam family: Bacterial small subunit ribosomal RNA
Source: RNAcentral